AAUAGGCUAAUUAAGAGCGUAAGGGGAAUGCCUUGGCUCUCAGAGGCGAUGAAGGACGUGAUAAGCUGCGAUAAGCUUUGGGGAGUGGCACAAACACUUUGAUCCGAAGAUUUCCGAAUGGGGCAACCCGGCAUAUUGAAGAUAUGUCACACUGUAAAGUGAGCAAACCUGGUGAACUGAAACAUCUAAGUAACCAGAGGAAUAGAAAACAAAAGUGAUUCCGCUAGUAGUGGCGAGCGAACGUGGAACAGCCCAAACCUAUGUUGUUACGGCAAUAUAGGGGUUGUAGGACCUCAACAUUUAAUGCUAAAAGAACUAGAAUUUACUGGAAAGUAAAACC
RNAcentral lists this ribosomal RNA (340 nucleotides) under uncultured Flavobacteriaceae bacterium. RNAcentral describes it as "bacterial LSU rRNA". It matches the Rfam family "Bacterial large subunit ribosomal RNA", at positions 1 to 356 of the family's 2925-position model. The record is from RNAcentral. Lineage: Bacteria; Pseudomonadati; Bacteroidota; Flavobacteriia; Flavobacteriales; Flavobacteriaceae.